Molecule: long non-coding RNA, 637 nt
Organism: Neogale vison (American mink)
Lineage: Eukaryota; Metazoa; Chordata; Mammalia; Carnivora; Mustelidae
Exons: 3
Source: RefSeq, a predicted model, not a curated record
AAAGAGCCCGCAGCCCCAGCGGAGAAGGUGCCCUGUGGGCCCGGAACCGGCAGCGGAGGCACUUGCACUCGGGCAGCCACUAUGCCCAUCGACGCUACUGUGUCAACCCUCGGCAGUAAUCCCGUCAGGACUGUUAACUAUUAACACUCCUCGGAGAACUUAAGUAACUUGGCAGACAAGCACAAUUCCAGGUCUGUCAUUUAAUAUCCUCGACGAAGGGAGGGGUUACCAGUUUUGGAAGUGAGGAGACUGUAGCUCCGAGAAAUGAAAAGAUUUGCCCACACAACUAAAUGUCAGAACUGGAGCUGGAAAUAAAGUCUGUGACACUCCAAAGUAGAGGACCUCUGCUAUUCUGCAGCUACACCUGGAGGCACCCGGCUCUGCUGGUCUUUCUCAAUCUUCAGUGGGUCACCGGGAGUUAGGAUCAGUAGUCCUGAAAAGACUGAAGUCGGACUGGUCUAAAUUUAGGGUCUGGCCGAAGUCGACCACCAGCUUCUUCUCUCCAGUUCCCAGUUCAGGGUUCCAGACACUAAAUGUUUAUCUCUCCCUCAAAGUACACACCCCUCCCAUGAAGCCCAAGCAAGUUCCUCCCAGGCUCUGGAGAGCCGGAGCCUAUGUUCUUUCUCUCAUCUGCCCA